CCUACGGGGGGCAGCAGUGAGGAAUAUUGGUCAAUGGACGAGAGUCUGAACCAGCCAAGUAGCGUGAAGGAUGACUGCCCUAUGGGUUGUAAACUUCUUUUAUAUGGGAAUAAAAUGUUCCACGUGUGGGAUUUUGUAUGUACCAUAUGAAUAAGGAUCGGCUAACUCCGUGCCAGCAGCCGCGGUAAUACGGAGGAUCCGAGCGUUAUCCGGAUUUAUUGGGUUUAAAGGGAGCGUAGGUGGAUUGUUAAGUCAGUUGUGAAAGUUUGCGGCUCAACCGUAAAAUUGCAGUUGAAAAUGGCAGUCUGGAGUACAGUAGAGGUGGGCGGAAGUCGUGGUGUAGCGGUGAAAUGCUUAGAUAUCACGAAGAACUCCGAUUGCGAAGGCAGCUCACUGGACUGCAACUGACACUGAGGCUCGAAAGUGUGGGUAUCAAACAGGAUUAGAUACCCGGGUAGUC
RNAcentral lists this ribosomal RNA (460 nucleotides) under uncultured bacterium. RNAcentral's name for it is "partial 16S ribosomal RNA". It matches the Rfam family "Bacterial small subunit ribosomal RNA", at positions 338 to 795 of the family's 1533-position model. The record is from RNAcentral.